ACUCACCAGGUCAGGACACGGUAAGGAUUGACGGACUGAAGGCUCUUUCUCGAUUCCGUGGAAAGUGGUGCAUGGUCCGUUUUUGGUUGGUGGAUCGAUCCGUCUGGUUAAUUCCGUUAACGAACGAGACCUCGGCACUCCGAAUAGCGCGGCGGACGUCGCGGCCUCCGGGCCGUCUUCCGCACGAGCUUCUUAGAGGGACCGUCCCCCGCCGGGGAAGGAGGUGCGAGGCAACGACAGGUCUGUGAUGCCCUUAGAUGUUCUGGGCCGCACGCGCAUUACACUGACGCGUCCAACGGGUGACUCCCGACCCGAAGGGGCCGGGGAAUCCGCAAGGCGCGUCGUGAUGGGGAUUGAACGUUGCAAUUGUUGUUCACGAACGAGGAAUUCCUAGUAGGCGCGGGUCAUCAACCCGCGCCGAUUACGUCCCUGCCCUUUGUACAC
RNAcentral lists this ribosomal RNA (444 nucleotides) under uncultured eukaryote. Its description in RNAcentral is "bacterial SSU rRNA". It matches the Rfam family "Eukaryotic small subunit ribosomal RNA", at positions 1213 to 1667 of the family's 1831-position model. The record is from RNAcentral.